GUUGCGAUCCUUGUUGGGUCGCCUCGUGCGCCGACCGUCAGGAGCAGCAGCACUCUCCGCGAAGAGGAUCCCAGCUCCAGGAAGCGACAGGAGACGGAGAUUGUGAAGCCCUCGAUUCACGCCUCGUCCAGCGCUCCAAACCCACGUCAAGCCGGCUAGAUUCUGGAGGGCGCAGAGGAGCGGACAGCAGUUGUGCGCGGCCGGAGCUUUCAAAUGCGUCACGGCUUCGUAUUAUCGUCUUUCCAUUCAUCCUCUCGUACACAAUGCUCCAUUUGGUCUCCCUGAUCAUGUGAACCAAGCACUCUUAAUCACGGUCCGGGGACUUGAUGGCUAGCUAUCUCUUUGUUGCGGCCAGCAGCCUCGCGAAGCUCUUGACUCAAUCGCCAUCAGAAGUUUCCAAGAGGCUUUGCAUGAAAGUUUUCACUUGCAUGUUUUAUAGCGGGAUUUGUUUUGUCAUGACCAUAAAACACGUCUUUCACUGCCGAGGCAA
Selaginella moellendorffii is the source of this 490-nucleotide long non-coding RNA. RefSeq lists it as uncharacterized. The transcript is spliced from 3 exons. The record is from RefSeq and is a predicted model, not a curated record. NCBI's taxonomy places the organism in Eukaryota, Viridiplantae, Streptophyta, Lycopodiopsida, Selaginellales, Selaginellaceae.